CCGAAGUUACUCUUCAUACCCUUUUGUGAACACUACCCCAUUGCCGCGCGUUGCCUCGGCGGUGAGGUCUGCGGUGGGGCCGCGCUCCGGCGCUCCCCGCCCCGGGCCCCCGCCGGCCGCGCCGAACUCUUCAUUUGCAAAGCGGACUGUACGUUCUGAUUAUAUCUUGAAAAACAAGUCA
This 181-nucleotide unclassified non-coding RNA is filed under the name uncultured Microascus. RNAcentral describes it as "sequence contains ITS1". Lineage: Eukaryota; Fungi; Ascomycota; Sordariomycetes; Microascales; Microascaceae. The record is from RNAcentral.